AGAGUUUGAUCCUGGCUCAGGAUGAACGCUAGCGGCAGGCCUAACACAUGCAAGUCGAGGGGCAGCGGGUAAGUAGCUUGCUACUUAUGCCGGCGACCGGCGGACGGGUGCGUAACGCGUAUGUAACCUACCUUUGACAGGGGGAUAACAUCGAGAAAUUGGUACUAAUACCCCAUAACAUCACCGGAGGCAUCUUCGGUGGUUGAAAACUCAGGUGGUCAGAGAUGGACAUGCGUUGUAUUAGCUAGUUGGUGAGGUAACGGCUCACCAAGGCGACGAUACAUAGGGGGACUGAGAGGUCAACCCCCCACAUUGGUACUGAGACACGGACCAAACUCCUACGGGAGGCAGCAGUGAGGAAUAUUGGUCAAUGGUCGGGAGACUGAACCAGCCAAGCCGCGUGAGGGAGGAAGGUACAGAGUAUCGUAAACCUCUUUUGUCAGGGAACAAAGGCGGGGACGUGUCCCCGGAUGAGUGUACCUGAAGAAAAAGCAUCGGCUAACUCCGUGCCAGCAGCCGCGGUAAUACGGAGGAUGCGAGCGUUAUCCGGAUUUAUUGGGUUUAAAGGGUGCGCAGGCGGUCUGUUAAGUCAGCGGUCAAAGCCCGGGGCUCAACCCCGGCCCGCCGUUGAAACUGGCAGUCUCGAGUUGGAGAGAAGUAUGCGGAAUGCGCGGUGUAGCGGUGAAAUGCAUAGAUAUCGCGCAGAACUCCGAUUGCGAAGGCAGCAUGCCGGCUCCACACUGACGCUGAGGCACGAAAGCGUGGGUAUCGAACAGGAUUAGAUACCCUGGUAGUCCACGCAGUAAACGAUGAAUGCUGGCUGUCCGGGGGGAUUGACCCCUGGGUGGCGAAGCGAAAGCGAUAAGCAUUCCACCUGGGGAGUACGCCGGCAACGGUGAAACUCAAAGGAAUUGACGGGGGCCCGCACAAGCGGAGGAACAUGUGGUUUAAUUCGAUGAUACGCGAGGAACCUUACCCGGGCUCAAACGGGGAGUGACUCAGGCAGAGACGCCUGUUUCCCACGGGACACUCCCCGAGGUGCUGCAUGGUUGUCGUCAGCUCGUGCCGUGAGGUGUCGGCUUAAGUGCCAUAACGAGCGCAACCCCCACCGGCAGUUGCUAACCGACGCAAGUCGGAGGACUCUGCCGGGACUGCCGGCGCAAGCUGCGAGGAAGGCGGGGAUGACGUCAAAUCAGCACGGCCCUUACGUCCGGGGCAACACACGUGUUACAAUGGCAGGUACAGCGGGAAGCCACCCGGCGACGGGGCGCGGAACCUGAAAACCUGUCUCAGUUCGGAUCGGAGUCUGCAACCCGACUCCGUGAAGCUGGAUUCGCUAGUAAUCGCGCAUCAGCCAUGGCGCGGUGAAUACGUUCCCGGGCCUUGCACACACCGCCCGUCA
This 1402-nucleotide ribosomal RNA is filed under the name uncultured bacterium. RNAcentral describes it as "16S ribosomal RNA". It matches the Rfam family "Bacterial small subunit ribosomal RNA". The record is from RNAcentral.